This is a long non-coding RNA of Bufo bufo (common toad), 354 nucleotides long. RefSeq lists it as uncharacterized. Lineage: Eukaryota; Metazoa; Chordata; Amphibia; Anura; Bufonidae. The transcript has 3 exons. The record is from RefSeq and is a predicted model, not a curated record.
UAAACUGCGACACUUUGUACCUUUGCUGGAUGAGAAACACAAUGUAACGCAGCUUCCAUGGACCGAGUGGAGCCGACUCCUCGGCAUUAGUUCCGUUUGCUUGGUUUUUGUUUCCCCCCCGAUUUUUGGGAUCAUAAGACGUCAACUCCUACAUUGACGGACGCUUUUCAGCCCAGAUCAAGAACUGCACGACUUCACCCUGGAGUGGUUAUGCUUUUAUGGCGAUAUAUCAUCAUGUAAUGUUAUGGCUACCGAGACUGCGGAUUUCUAAAUAAAAAUUAUGUGAAAACAAAAGUUCUGUACUUGGUCUCCAGAAAGAAGCAACGGCGGCUGAGCUGGAGGUGCCCGUGCAAG